RNAcentral lists this ribosomal RNA (1542 nucleotides) under Triticum aestivum (bread wheat). RNAcentral describes it as "partial small subunit ribosomal RNA". Lineage: Eukaryota; Viridiplantae; Streptophyta; Magnoliopsida; Poales; Poaceae. The record is from RNAcentral.
AUGCUUCUCCUUCUGUGCUCUUUUCCCAAGGAUAGCCUGAUGGACAAAGACAUGUUAAUCCAGCUAUGGAUGGCUAAUGAUUUUAUUGCAUCAGAAACAAGAGGCCAACACAUUUUCGAUGUGCUAGUUUGGAGAUGUUUCCUCCAGGAUGUCCAAAUUAAAGAGGGUGUCUUCAUCUACCAACCAACUACUUGCAGAAUGCAUGAUCUCAUGCAUGAUCUUGCUGGCUCCGUAGGCAAAAAUGAUUGCUCCAAUCUACAAGAAUCUUCAUCACGUCAGGAAAUUUGCAAGGAUCCACAUACACCAGUUCAUUACAGCAUGCAUGAGGUUCACCAUUUGUCACUUGAUAAUGUGAGUAACAAUACUAUUGGAGCCAUGAAGGAAAUUCUAGAUCCCCGAGCCCGCACAAUAUUAGUUUUGAAAAAUGAAUUUGGGAUUGAGAUUCCUGUGAGUAUGGCUAAGUCAAAAUUCAUGUCCUUGCGAGCAUUGAAGACGUUCUCAAUCAGUACACACAUGACAAACUUGAAGCAUCUUCGCUAUCUGGAUUGUUCUGGUUCUAGUAUAUCUGCAUUGCCUGAAGGCAUUAUCAUGUUGUAUAGCUUGCAAACAUUGAAGCUCAUUGGUUGUAGUGAACUUAGGAAAUUACCCGAAGGCAUGAGGUAUAUGAGCAGUCUUCGUCACAUCUUCCUUGUGGCGUGUCGUCGUUUGGAGCGCAUGCCACAAGGUGUUAGUCAAUUGAAUUCUCUAAAGACAUUGACGAAUUAUGUCAUUGAUAGUGAUGCCGGCCGUGGAAUUGAUCAACUGAGAGAUUUGAAUCUAGGUGGUAGUCUUUCUUUGACAGAGCUGAGAAAAGUGCAUAGUGCAGAAAAUGCUAAACAAGGCAAUUUGUCCGCCAAGCAUAAUUUGAAACGAUUGUUGCUCAAUUGGCAUGGACCUGAUAGCACAAAUGAUAGAGAUGAGGUGGAUAAUAAUGCAGAAGGAAUCUUAGAGGCCCUUCGUCCUCAUAAAAGUCUUGAAGCUUUACUGUUAUAUGAUUAUACCGGGGUGAAAUUCUCGUCAUGGAUGCACAACUAUACACUGUUAGAACAUCUCAGCGAACUUUCUUUAGUUAGAUGCAAGAACUGCAAGGAUCUUCCACCAUUAUGGCAGUUGCCCUCCCUCAUGCUCUUGCGUUUGUGUGAUUUGUAUAGUUUGACAAGUAUGUGUGUUGGUAAUGAUGACACAGACAAUGGGGAAUCCUACAUUUCUCCACCACCCUUCUUUCCUAAGUUGGAAACCAUGAUUCUUCAGAAGAUACCUAAGCUAGAGAGAUGGCACCAGGAGGUGGCAGGACAAGUAGGGGUUGUAUCAUUCCCUCAGCUCAAGACGCUAUGGAUUGUUGAGUGCCCAAGGUUAGAGACACUGCCGGAGGGACUCCUGCAGAAGUUCCCAGCCCUCGAGAAACUAUCCAUCAGCGAAUGCCGCAACUUGAAGGAGGCCUUCUCAAGAGGAGGCGCUUACUGGGAUUUCGUUGAAGCAAUUCCAAAAAGAUUUAUUGAUUGA